This 496-nucleotide ribosomal RNA is filed under the name uncultured bacterium. RNAcentral's name for it is "partial 16S ribosomal RNA". It matches the Rfam family "Bacterial small subunit ribosomal RNA", at positions 29 to 507 of the family's 1533-position model. The record is from RNAcentral.
AUGAACGCUGGCGGCGUGCCUAAUACAUGCAAGUCGAGCGAACAGACGAGGAGCUUACUCCUCUGACGUUAGCGGCGGACGGGUGAGUAACACGUGGAUAACCUACCUAUAAGACUGGGAUAACUUCGGGAAACCGGAGCUAAUACCGGAUAACAUGUUGAACCGCAUGGUUCAACAGUGAAAGACGGUCUUGCUGUCACUUAUAGAUGGAUCCGCGUCGCAUUAGCUAGUUGGUAAGGUAACGGCUUACCAAGGCAACGAUGCGUAGCCGACCUGAGAGGGUGAUCGGCCACACUGGAACUGAGACACGGUCCAGACUCCUACGGGAGGCAGCAGUAGGGAAUCUUCCGCAAUGGGCGAAAGCCUGACGGAGCAACGCCGCGUGAGUGAAGAAGGUCUUCGGAUCGUAAAACUCUGUUAUUAGGGAAGAACAAAUGUGUAAGUAACUAUGCACGUCUUGACGGUACCUAAUCAGAAAGCCACGGCUAACCGCGUG